AUUACAGCUCGUACACUGCAGUUCCUCCGCGCCGUCGGCACCCACCUGGCGACUGCUCGUAGGUUUUGUUAGCC
This 74-nucleotide small RNA is filed under the name Xanthomonas fragariae. RNAcentral's name for it is "sX9 sRNA". It matches the Rfam family "Xanthomonas sRNA sX9". Lineage: Bacteria; Pseudomonadati; Pseudomonadota; Gammaproteobacteria; Lysobacterales; Lysobacteraceae. The record is from RNAcentral.